AUCCAGCUGAUAUGUCCCAAAUAGAACGAAGCGUGAGUCCUGGAU
Schistosoma rodhaini is the source of this 45-nucleotide non-coding RNA. NCBI's taxonomy places the organism in Eukaryota, Metazoa, Platyhelminthes, Trematoda, Strigeidida, Schistosomatidae. The record is from Rfam.